RNAcentral lists this ribosomal RNA (232 nucleotides) under uncultured bacterium. RNAcentral describes it as "partial 16S ribosomal RNA". It matches the Rfam family "Bacterial small subunit ribosomal RNA", at positions 118 to 350 of the family's 1533-position model. The record is from RNAcentral.
UGAGUAACCUGCCCUUCACUUCGGGAUAACUCCGGGAAACCGGGGCUAAUACUGGAUGUGACCUGGUGCCGCAUGGUGCUGGGUGGAAAGUUUUUCGGUGGGGGAUGGACUCGCGGUCUAUCAGCUUUGUUGGUGAGGUAAUGGCUUACCAAGGCGACGACGGGUAGCCGGCCUGAGAGGGCGACCGGCCACACUGGGACUGAGACACGGCCCAGACUCCUACGGGGAGGCA